GUGAGUAGAAUAGUAAUAAAAUAACAGGUGAUAAAACAUGCUCUCAUGGAAUGCAACACAUAAGCACAUCACCUCGGCCGGACGGAUCAAAACUCCCUCUAUCUCAUCUGGGGUACCGGAGUACCAUGUGCCUGGUCCCCGUAGGGCUGUUCCAGGUCUUUGUGUGCCUGGUCCCCGUAGGGCUGUUCCAGGUCUUUCCUCUGAGGGCUAAUGAAUCCUCACGAAGUCCGUGCCGUCUCAUAGAAACAAUGUACAAGGAGCAGUGCCAAGUACAAGGAUCAAUGCAAUGCAGCAUCUUUGUGUACACUAAUGCACUCACCCUAUAGCAUAUUCAUGAUGCAUGAAGCAUGAUAAAAUAUUCAGUUCUCAUAUUAAAACAUUAAGUUAAUUCCACUCACCUUUAGUUAUCUCUGAACUGACUCUGCAGGUUCUGACACUGGACUCACUGCUGACUUCCCUGAUUCCUCUGGUCCGUACCUACACAGGUGGACUCAAAUGAGGGACCAAACUCAC
RNAcentral lists this long non-coding RNA (513 nucleotides) under Manihot esculenta (cassava). Its description in RNAcentral is "long non-coding RNA (MESC_LNC003989)". Lineage: Eukaryota; Viridiplantae; Streptophyta; Magnoliopsida; Malpighiales; Euphorbiaceae. The record is from RNAcentral.